Molecule: ribosomal RNA, 272 nt
Filed under: uncultured prokaryote
Description: partial 16S ribosomal RNA
Rfam family: Bacterial small subunit ribosomal RNA
Source: RNAcentral
UACGGAGGAUCCGAGCGUUAUCCGGAUUUAUUGGGGUUUAAAGGGUGCGCAGGCGGGAGAUUAAGUCGGCGGUGAAACUUUGCAGCUCAACUGUAAAAGUGCCUUCGAAACUGGUUUCCUUGAGUGUAGAUGAAGUAGGCGGAAUUUGUGGUGUAGCGGUGAAAUGCAUAGAUAUCACGAGGAACUCCGAUUGCGCAGGCAGCUUACUAAACUACUACUGACGCUCAGGCACGAAGGCGUGGGGAUCAAACAGGAUUAGAUACCCCUGUAGU